RNAcentral lists this ribosomal RNA (520 nucleotides) under uncultured Glomeromycotina. RNAcentral describes it as "SSU rRNA". It matches the Rfam family "Eukaryotic small subunit ribosomal RNA", at positions 569 to 1091 of the family's 1831-position model. Lineage: Eukaryota; Fungi; Glomeromycota. The record is from RNAcentral.
AGCAGCCGCGGUAAUUCCAGCUCCAAUAGCGUAUAUUAAAGUUGUUGCAGUUAAAAAGCUCGUAGUUGAAUUUCGGGAUUAGUGCGCUGGUCAUGCCUUUGGUAUGUACUGGUGUUACUGAUUUCUACCUUCUGAAGAACCGUUAUGUCAUUUAUUUGGUGUGGCGGGGAAUCAGGACUGUUACUUUGAAAAAAUUAGAGUGUUUAAAGCAGGCUCGCGCUUGAAUACAUUAGCAUGGAAUAAUGAAAUAGGACGUUUGACCCUAUUUUGUUGGUUUCUAGGAUCGACGUAAUGAUUAAUAGGGAUAGUUGGGGGCAUUAGUAUUCAAUUGUCAGAGGUGAAAUUCUUGGAUUUAUUGAAGACUAACUACUGCGAAAGCAUUUGCCAAGGAUGUUUUCAUUAAUCAAGAACGAAAGUUAGGGGAUCGAAGACGAUCAGAUACCGUCGUAGUCUUAACCAUAAACUAUGCCGACUAGGGAUCGGAUGAUGUUAAUUUUUAAUGACUCAUUCGGCGCCUUAC